RNAcentral lists this ribosomal RNA (525 nucleotides) under uncultured bacterium. RNAcentral's name for it is "partial 16S ribosomal RNA". It matches the Rfam family "Bacterial small subunit ribosomal RNA", at positions 355 to 891 of the family's 1533-position model. The record is from RNAcentral.
UGGGGAAUAUUGGACAAUGGGCGCAAGCCUGAUCCAGCCAUGCCGCGUGAGUGAUGAAGGCCUUAGGGUUGUAAAGCUCUUUCGCCGACGAAGAUAAUGGCGGUAGUCGGAGAAGAAGCCCCGGCUAACUUCGUGCCAGCAGCCGCGGUAAUACGAAGGGGGCUAGCGUUGUUCGGAAUCACUGGGCGUAAAGCGCACGUAGGCGGAUUGUUAAGUCAGGGGUGAAAGCCUGGAGCUCAACUCCAGAACUGCCCUUGAUACUGGCCAAUCUCGAGUCCGGAAGAGGUAAGUGGAACUGCGAGUGUAGAGGUGAAAUUCGUAGAUAUUCGCAAGAACACCAGUGGCGAAGGCGGCUUACUGGUCCGGUACUGACGCUGAGGUGCGAAAGCGUGGGGGAGCAAAACAGGAUUAGAUACCCCUGGUAGUCCACGCCGUAAACGAUGGAGGCUAGCCGUUGGCGAGCAUGCUCGUCAGUGGCGCAGCUAACGCAUUAAGCCUCCCCGCCCUGGGGGAGUACGGUCGCAA